UCCAGACUCCUACGGGAGGCAGCAGUGGGGAAUAUUGCACAAUGGGGGGAGCCCUGAUGCAGCGACGCCGCGUGGGUGAAGGAGUACUUCGGUACGUAAAGCCCUAUCAGCAGGAAAGAAAAUGACGGUACCUGACUAAGAAGCCCCGGCUAACUACGUGCCAGCAGCCGCGGUAAUACGUAGGGGGCAAGCGUUAUCCGGAUUUAUUGGGUUUAAAGGGUGCGCAGGCGGCACGGCAAGCCGGCGGUCAAAUCGCGGGGCUCAACCCCGCCCAGCCGUCGGAACUGCCGGGCUAGAGUGGGCGAGAAGUGCGCGGAAUGCGUGGUGUAGCGGUGAAAUGCAUAGAUAUCACGCAGAACUCCGAUUGCGAAGGCAGCGCACCGGCGCCCUACUGACGCUCAGGCACGAAAGCGUGGGUAUCGAACAGGAUUAGAUACCCUGGUAUG
RNAcentral lists this ribosomal RNA (446 nucleotides) under uncultured bacterium. Its description in RNAcentral is "partial 16S ribosomal RNA". It matches the Rfam family "Bacterial small subunit ribosomal RNA", at positions 330 to 794 of the family's 1533-position model. The record is from RNAcentral.